GAGUUUGAUCUUGGCUCAGGACGAACGCUGGCGGCGCGCCUAACACAUGCAAGUCGAACGAGCGAGAGAGAGCUUGCUUUCUCGAGCGAGUGGCGAACGGGUGAGUAACGCGUGAGGAACCUGCCUCAAAGAGGGGGACAACAGUUGGAAACGACUGCUAAUACCGCAUAAGCCCACAGCUCGGCAUCGAGCAGAGGGAAAAGGAGCAAUCCGCUUUGAGAUGGCCUCGCGUCCGAUUAGAUAGUUGGCGGGGUAACGCCCACAAGUCAACGAUGGAUAGGGGUUCUGGAGAGGAAGGUCCCCCCAAUUGGAACUGAGACACGGUCCAAACUCC
Molecule: ribosomal RNA, 334 nt
Filed under: uncultured bacterium
Lineage: Bacteria
Description: bacterial SSU rRNA
Rfam family: Bacterial small subunit ribosomal RNA
Source: RNAcentral